AGAGUUUGAUCCUGGCUCAGGACAAACGCUGGCGGCAUGCCUAACACAUGCAAGUCGAACGGGGUUACUUCGGUAACCUAGUGGCGAACGGGUGAGUAACGCGUAGGCAACCUGCCCUCUAGAUGGGGACAACAUUCCGAAAGGAGUGCUAAUACCGAAUGUGAAGGAUCUUCCGCAUGGAGGAUUCUUGAAAGAUGGCCUCUAUUUAUAAGCUAUCGCUAGAGGAUGGGCCUGCGUCUGAUUAGCUAGUAGGUGGGGUAACGGCCUACCUAGGCGACGAUCAGUAGCCGGUCUGAGAGGAUGAACGGCCACAUUGGGACUGAGACACGGCCCAGACUCCUACGGGAGGCAGCAGUGGGGAAUCUUCCGCAAUGGGCGAAAGCCUGACGGAGCAAUGCCGCGUGAGUGAUGAAGGGAUUCGUCCCGUAAAGCUCUUUUGUACAUGACGAACGUGCAAGGGGUGAACAAUCCCGUGUAAUGACGGUAGUGUACGAAUAAGCCACGGCUUACUACGUGCCAGCAGCCGCGGUAAUACGUAGGUGGCAAGCGUUAUCCGGAUUUAUUGGGCGUAAAGGGUGCGCAGGCGGUUUAUUUAGUCCGGGGUGAAAGCGUUGAGCUCAACUCAAUUAAGCCUUGGAUACUGAUAGACUAGAGUGCAGAAGAGGGUAGUGGAACUCCAUGUGUAGCGGUAAAAUGCGUAGAUAUAUGGAAGAACACCAGCGGCGAAGGCGGCUACCUGGUCUGUUACUGACGCUCAGGCACGAAAGCGUGGGGAGCAAAUAGGAUUAGAUACCCUAGUAGUCCACGCCCUAAACGAUGAUUACUAAAUGUUGGGGAAACUCAGUGUUGUAGCUAACGCAAUAAGUAAUCCGCCUGGGGAGUAUGCACGCAAGUGUGAAACUUAAAGGAAUUGACGGGGCCCCGCACAAGCGGUGGAGUAUGCGGUUUAAUUCGACGCAACGCGAAGAACCUUACCAGGCCUUGACAUCCCUUGCAAAGGUAUAGAGAUAUAUUAGAGGUUAUCAAGGUGACAGGUGGUGCAUGGUUGUCGUCAGCUCGUGUCGUGAGAUGUUGGGUUAAGUCCCGCAACGAGCGCAACCCUUGUCUUUAGUUACCAUCAUUUAGUUGGGGACUCUAGAGAGACUGCCGAUGAUAAAUCGGAGGAAGGUGGGGAUGACGUCAAAUCAUCAUGCCCUUUAUGGCCUGGGCUACACGCGUACUACAAUGGCGUACACAACAAGAUGCAAUAUAGCGAUAUGGAGCAAAACUUACAAAUUACGUCUCAGUUCAGAUUGAAGUCUGCAACUCGACUUCAUGAAGUUGGAAUCGCUAGUAAUCGCGGAUCAGCAUGCCGCGGUGAAUACGUUCUCGGGGCUUGCACUCACCGCCCGUCAA
This 1395-nucleotide ribosomal RNA is filed under the name uncultured bacterium. RNAcentral's name for it is "bacterial SSU rRNA". It matches the Rfam family "Bacterial small subunit ribosomal RNA". The record is from RNAcentral.